RNAcentral lists this ribosomal RNA (253 nucleotides) under uncultured bacterium. Its description in RNAcentral is "partial 16S ribosomal RNA". It matches the Rfam family "Bacterial small subunit ribosomal RNA", at positions 524 to 776 of the family's 1533-position model. The record is from RNAcentral.
UACGUAGGGGGCUAGCGUUGUCCGGAAUCAUUGGGCGUAAAGAGCGCGUAGGCGGCUAGAUAAGUCCGGUGUGAAAGUCACAGGCUCAACCUGUGAAUGCCGCUGGAAACUGUCUGGCUAGAGUCCGGAAGGGGCGAGUGGAAUUCCUGGUGUAGCGGUGAAAUGCGCAGAUAUCAGGAGGAACACCAAUGGCGAAGGCGGCUGACUGGACAUGUAUUGACGCUGAGGUGCGAAAGCGUGGGGAGCAAACAGG